This 447-nucleotide ribosomal RNA is filed under the name uncultured bacterium. RNAcentral's name for it is "bacterial SSU rRNA". It matches the Rfam family "Bacterial small subunit ribosomal RNA", at positions 330 to 797 of the family's 1533-position model. The record is from RNAcentral.
ACCAGACUCCUACGGGAGGCAGCAGUGGGGGAUAUUGCACAAUGGGGGGAACCCUGAUGCAGCGACGCCGCGUGGGUGAAGAAGCGCCUCGGCGCGUAAAGCCCUGUCAGCAGGGAAGAAAAUGACGGUACCUGAAGAAGAAGCCCCGGCUAACUACGUGCCAGCAGCCGCGGUAAUACGUAGGGGGCAAGCGUUAUCCGGAUUUACUGGGUGUAAAGGGGGCGCAGACGGCGAUGCAAGCCAGGAGUGAAAGCCCGGGGCCCAACCCCGGGACUGCUCUUGGAACUGCGUGGCUGGAGUGCAGGAGGGGCAGGCGGAAUUCCUGGUGUAGCGGUGAAAUGCGUAGAUAUCAGGAGGAACACCGGUGGCGAAGGCGGCCUGCUGGACUGCAACUGACGUUGAGGCCCGAAAGCGUGGGGAGCAAACAGGAUUAGAUACCCGAGUACA